UAAUCUUUAUUAUAGCAAGAAUAACUAACAUUCUUUAACAAUACAAAAGUCAGCUGCUUUAAUCCAUUCUUCACGCAAAGAUUAGGCAAGGAAUUAGCAUCAGCAACUAUUCCUCUUAAUCAUUUCUAAACCGCGUGCCAUGAAAUUCUCUCCCAAUCGAACAUUCUCUAUUUAUAACACUUCACUUUUAAGUUCUCAAGACACAGACAAGCCCACCCACUGACACACCUNN
Molecule: long non-coding RNA, 232 nt
Filed under: Setaria italica (foxtail millet)
Lineage: Eukaryota; Viridiplantae; Streptophyta; Magnoliopsida; Poales; Poaceae
Description: long non-coding RNA (SITA_LNC005676)
Source: RNAcentral